AGCGAACGCUGGCGGCAGGCCUAACACAUGCAAGUCGAACGAACUCUUCGGAGUUAGUGGCGGACGGGUGAGUAACACGUGGGAACGUGCCUUUUGGCUCGGAAUAACUCAGGGAAACUUGUGCUAAUACCGAAUGUGCCCUUCGGGGGAAAGAUUUAUCGCCAUUAGAGCGGCCCGCGUCUGAUUAGCUAGUUGGUGAGGUAACGGCCCACCAAGGCGACGAUCAGUAGCUGGUCUGAGAGGAUGACCAGCCACACUGGGACUGAGACACGGCCCAGACUCCUACGGGAGGCAGCAGUGGGGAAUCUUGCGCAAUGGGCGAAAGCCUGACGCAGCCAUGCCGCGUGAAUGAUGAAGGUCUUAGGAUUGUAAAAUUCUUUCACCGGGGACGAUAAUGACGGUACCCGGAGAAGAAGCCCCGGCUAACUUCGUG
Molecule: ribosomal RNA, 433 nt
Filed under: uncultured bacterium
Lineage: Bacteria
Description: partial 16S ribosomal RNA
Rfam family: Bacterial small subunit ribosomal RNA
Source: RNAcentral